Molecule: ribosomal RNA, 253 nt
Filed under: uncultured bacterium
Lineage: Bacteria
Description: partial 16S ribosomal RNA
Rfam family: Bacterial small subunit ribosomal RNA
Source: RNAcentral
UACGUAGGGGGCUAGCGUUGUCCGGAUUUAUUGGGCGUAAAGAGCGUGUAGGCGGCCAGGUAGGUCUGCUGUGAAAACUCGAGGCUCAACCUCGAGCUGUCGGCGGAAACCAUCUGGCUAGAGUCCGGAAGAGGAGAGUGGAAUUCCUGGUGUAGCGGUGAAAUGCGCAGAUAUCAGGAAGAACACCCGUGGCGAAAGCGGCUCUCUGGAACGGUACUGACGCUGAGACGCGAAAGCGUGGGGAGCGAACAGG